CGAAAUUGUACCCGGUGUCAUCUUAACUCAAAUGAAAUCUUCGAAAAGUGAAGUCGUACAAAGAGGUUGUAUACGAAGUUGUAUCGUUUGUGGCCGAAGAAUAAAACUUGACAAUCCUCCAGAUGCCAAGAAAGAAGUAUUGCUGCAUACCGUCACGUGGCACAAACACCCAAUGGAGGGUGUCAGCUUCCAUAGUAUAGUUCCAUGGAAGUUUAUUUUUAGAGAAAAUAUGGGAUAACAAAUACCGAAAACAAAUACAUCUGCUCCAAACAUUUUCAGUCAGAGUAUCUUAAAAAACAGAAAAGAGAGGCAUAACAUUGUGUAGGAACAUAAUGCCAAUUUUUCCGGAGGAUACUGUUCUGGAUUAAUGUCAAAGAAGGAGCCUUGCGGUUAACGCAAAAGAAAACAAUUUUAUUUAAAACACAGUAGCGCGCGUUUAUUUCGCAGUUUUUCGACUUCUCCUUUUGACUGCCAAAGACAAAUAACCCCGAAUAAUGGCAUUGCAAUUAUCAAAAGCCCUAUUCGGAAAUGUCAAAAGAGAGAAUAGAGGAAACUGUGAUAACUGUCAACAUUACAACAUUUCAACAGAAACAUGAUAAAUAAACACUCAUAAGGUGCCGUUCUGGAAAACCCCCGCCCCCGUGGAGCCGUCAGCUUCACCAUCUUCCAAGUCCAGGACGGCUAACUUUGAAACAGCUCGUUGGAGAACUCCUGUGGAGGUUUUGACAUCAGCUCGACGAACAACACCAUCUGUCCCAGUAUGUAGAUGAGUGACCAUUCCUCGCCGCCAUUGAUUACGUGGAAGAUUAGGAUCGCAAACAAACACAACAUCUCCUACUUCUAUUGGCUUCGUUCGUUCACACCACUUUACUCGCCUGGUUAAUGUUGGCAAAUAUUCAACAACCCAUCGCUUCCAGAAUCUGUCUCGCAAACUCCUAACAACUCGUCACUGCUUUUUCAGGCGGAAGAUUUGUUCAUCUGGAACAUUGGCUGCAGGUGUCUGAGGAAUGUUGUCUGUUCCAAGCAAAAAAUGGUUUGGAGUUAGAGGCUCCUCCUCAUGAGGGCUUAUGGGCACAUGAGUCAAUGGCCUAGAGU
This is a long non-coding RNA of Musca domestica (house fly), 1095 nucleotides long. RefSeq lists it as uncharacterized. The record is from RefSeq and is a predicted model, not a curated record. The transcript has 2 exons. Lineage: Eukaryota; Metazoa; Arthropoda; Insecta; Diptera; Muscidae.